GGUCAUCUGGUGGCCCCCGUACGGGGAAUAAAAGACUCAGCGACGUGCCUCUUCGGCCGGGAGGUGCGAUUGCUGUCGCCUGCGGUACGACGGAGGACCUGGCCCAAUAACAACGGAAGGCCGCGAGCACCUCUUCUCUUCACCCUGAUCAGCUACGUGAGAUACAGCGGUUCCCGGGACAGGAACCAGGUCGCGAACCGCUGUGGGUCCCGGAAAGAUUGACGCGAGCAGUAAACUCCCCACCAGUUCCUGAUAAAGCACAGGAAGAUAAGCCCGCGGACACAAGUCAACUCGACCCUUCUGGGACCGACGCUCAGCGCCCGAGACCAUCUACAAACUAAAAUGUCUGGUUUGGAGCUUUUUCUAUUCUGAGGGUUCCUAUUAAUCACCCCUGUGAUAUGCUCAGAUUCCACAGAACCACCACAAUAUCUUUGGGGUCCUUGGCACCACCCGCCCACAUUGGCACCUUUUUCGGCGGCCUCGCCCGCCUCACCCAGGGUUUACACCAUCAAUCAAACAGUCCUUGAUUAUGCUAAUUGCCAUGGCUAUCCUAGUAGGGCUUGUGGUUAUUAAAUGCUUGUUAGAUUGCCUCAUACAAACUCAGCAGCAGGUUAAGAUCACAGCUAUGGCAGCCAUGCAAAUGGCAGCAGGUGGCCCAUCAGGCCAGCAGGCCGCCGCAUAUCUCCUUCACAUUGCAGAACAUCAGCUGUAAGAGCUGAGUGGGCAAGCCAAUGACGGGUAAGACGGGAAAAGCCCUCCCAGUCAACCUAAGACAGGCUCCACUCAGAUAUACAUGGCCUAUAAGGCCAGGGGUCCCUCCCGGAGUCAAAUUAUUGGCAUUGAGAUGCGAGACCAAGGGUACUGCAGUGCCAUCCGCCUCAAAGGUUGGGGGGAAGGCAGGAAUGAAUGUCUAUAUGCAUCCAGGUUCGGUUCACAAAAGCCUGGCCCUGCGAAAAAAUGAACCACUCACCUUGAGCAUGGUCCUGGCGCAAGGAUAUGCACAAAACAGGGUGAUGCACAGCAGGGUAUAGACCUCUACAUUCUCUCAUGCCUCGGCCUACAAGGUAGGCCCACUCCUAGGUGUCUAACAGCAACAACGUCAUAGACACCUUGGAGGGACCCACAGACCAUCCUAUUUUAAUAAAUAAAAAAGGGGGAGAUGUGGGAAGCCGCCUAUGAAUGGCGCCCAUUUCCUGCUUCCGGGUUCUUCCCGGCCUGAACAAGCCCGCCAAAUUGUCAUGUCUGCCCAGUUACCCGUGACGCUAGCCUAUCAGCUUGUUAGACGCGCUUCUCUGUGAUUGGAUACUGCUUCCCCUUAUAAGAGGUUGUUCCUGCCCCCAACGGCGGAAGAGGAAUCAACACCGAGGGUGGCGGACCUUGUCAGGUCCGGUUCGCUGUACGUAAUAAAGUUUGAGAGCUGA
Long non-coding RNA from Cavia porcellus (domestic guinea pig), 1421 nucleotides. RefSeq lists it as uncharacterized. NCBI's taxonomy places the organism in Eukaryota, Metazoa, Chordata, Mammalia, Rodentia, Caviidae. The transcript is spliced from 2 exons. The record is from RefSeq and is a predicted model, not a curated record.